This 117-nucleotide small RNA is filed under the name Pongo abelii (Sumatran orangutan). Its description in RNAcentral is "Metazoan signal recognition particle RNA (ENSPPYG00000038890.1)". Lineage: Eukaryota; Metazoa; Chordata; Mammalia; Primates; Hominidae. The record is from Rfam by way of RNAcentral.
GCCGGGUGUGGUGGCUCAUGCCUGUAAUCCCAACACUUUGGGAGGCUGAGGUGGGCAGAUCACUUGAGGCCAGGAGUUCAAGACCAGCCUGGCCAACAUGGUGAAUCCCCAUCUCUU